This 248-nucleotide long non-coding RNA is filed under the name Chinchilla lanigera (long-tailed chinchilla). RNAcentral's name for it is "lncRNA (ENSCLAG00000026831.1)". The record is from RNAcentral. Lineage: Eukaryota; Metazoa; Chordata; Mammalia; Rodentia; Chinchillidae.
GGCAGAGGAAGCUGGGUGGCAGGAGGAGCCCAACGUCUUGCAGAUCACAGACAUGUUCGAUGCGGAUUCACACGAGCCUCCGAUAACGUCCAUGUGACGUUUCCUCGCAUCAGAAGCUGUCACAGAAGUAACGCGGUACAGCCGUCGACAGACGUCAUCUCCCACCAGGAAGCGCUGCGGAUUCCGGGGAUGAGGCGCUUUGGGCCAACUUCAAUUUUCUCAUUCUGAGUUUGGAAAUGAAACUUUGG